RNAcentral lists this unclassified non-coding RNA (349 nucleotides) under soil metagenome. RNAcentral's name for it is "partial contains 5.8S ribosomal RNA, internal transcribed spacer 2, and large subunit ribosomal RNA". The stretch from base 1 to 120 matches the Rfam family "5.8S ribosomal RNA", at positions 35 to 154 of the family's 154-position model. The record is from RNAcentral.
GAUGAAGAACGUAGCGAAAUGCGAUAAGUAAUGUGAAUUGCAGAAUUCCGUGAAUCAUCGAAUCUUUGAACGCACAUUGCGCCCCCUGGCAUUCCGGGGGGCAUGCCUGUCCGAGCGUCAUUUCUGCCCUCAAGCCCGGCUUGUGUGUUGGGCGUGGUCCCCCCGGUUUAGGGGGGACCUGCCCGAAAGGCAGCGGCGACGUUCCGCCUAGGUCCUCGAGCGUAUGGGGCUUUGUCACCCGCUCGGGAGGGGCCUACGGGCGUUGGCCAUCCACCAUUUUUUUUUUACGGUUGACCUCGGAUCAGGUAGGAGUUACCCGCUGAACUUAAGCAUAUCAAUAAGCGGAGGA